GAUGAAGAACGUCGCGAAAUGCGAUAAGUAGUGUGAAUUGCAGAAUUCAGUGAAUCAUCGAAUCUUUGAACGCACAUUGCGCCCCUUGGUAUCCCGAGGGGCAUGCCUGUUCGAGCGUCAUUUCACCACUCAAGCCUGGCUUGGUGUUGGGCGACGUCCUCUUUGGGGACGCGCCUCGAAACGCUCGGCGGCGUGGCACCGGCUUUAAGCGUAGCAGAAUCUUUCGCUUUGGAAGUCGGGGCCCCGUCUGCCGGAAGACCUGCUCGCAAGGUUGACCUCGGAUCAGGCAGGGAUACCCGCUGAACUUAAGCAUAUCAAUAAGCGGAGGA
Molecule: unclassified non-coding RNA, 329 nt
Filed under: soil metagenome
Description: partial contains 5.8S ribosomal RNA, internal transcribed spacer 2, and large subunit ribosomal RNA
Rfam family: 5.8S ribosomal RNA (bases 1-120)
Source: RNAcentral